This 85-nucleotide small RNA is filed under the name Mytilus galloprovincialis (Mediterranean mussel). The record is from RNAcentral. Lineage: Eukaryota; Metazoa; Mollusca; Bivalvia; Mytilida; Mytilidae.
CUAUCCAUGGGAAGAUCUACUAUCCCUAUAUAUCACGAGUAAUAAUCGUAAUGUAUAUAGGGAUAGUAGAUCUUCCCAUGGAUAG